Molecule: long non-coding RNA, 1293 nt
Filed under: Sus scrofa (pig)
Lineage: Eukaryota; Metazoa; Chordata; Mammalia; Artiodactyla; Suidae
Description: lncRNA (ENSSSCG00050056833.1)
Source: RNAcentral
CCCAGACUGCCCAGGCCAGGAGGACAAGGCUCGGGGCAGAUCCCAAGCCUCACCUCCGCCCGCACCGCUGAGAGGACGCCAGCGCCGGGUCGGGUGGUGGAUGCGGAACCCGCCCAGGGCCUGACCCCCAUGGCCGCCCCAGCCUCGCCUGGAGCAAGCAGAACCCUGACAUGGAUGUGGACAAGAACAGGACCCUGGACCUAGACAUGAGCAAACAGUGGCUGUGAGAGGGCUGCUGCCCCAUCCUGACAUCCCUGGAGCCCAUGUCCCCCAGCAGCAGGCAGUAAUGAACAGAUGGUGUUUCCAGCUGAGAGAGGAGGACGGCUGGGACUUGCCCAUGGACUACACCAAAAUGAAGUCCUGGAGGAUAGAUGAGGAUGAGUCCAAAAGGAUUGCUGUAUAUCCUUGUCAUUGCCCCCACCUUUGUCCACACAGCAUGUGAAGUUGGCAUCACUGAGGAAAAUGCACUUGGCACACACCUCAGCAGAAUUGUCUUUUCUCUUUGAAUAUGACCUUUAGCUGAUCAGGGCUUAGAGGACUUAAGUUGACCCAGGAGAUAUUUGGAUUGAUUUGAGUGAAACAAACCAUUGACUUUUUUAAAUGAUGGAUUUCAUCUUCUAACAAGUGUGUUUUGUAACAAACUAUUUCUCUAAGAAAGUGUAUAAACAGCAUACCAGUUCAUUUUUUCUGGGUGACAGAGAUAUAAGGCAGAAUUUUCCUUUCAGAUGGAGAAUGGUAAUGAGAGUCUUAAAUAUUUAAAUGGUUAACUAUACGCUGUUAAUUACCUAGCUUUUUGAGGCUAAGGACAGGGUCUCUUCUCUAAGAAAUCUAAAAUAUUCAGAAGAGUAGACUCUAGCCUAGAAUGUCAACUUAGUACUGUCACCUAAAUCUUUGUUGACUAUAAUAUUACCAAAGCACCUAUGUCAAGAACAUAUUUCUAAAGUAGUUACAAUUUUGCAAUUCAGAUUAUUAAAAUAGUUAUCCUUUAGGCUAAGAAAGAAGUGAAAAAAAAGUUUUUUGUUAGCCUGAGUUCAAUUCUGAAAAUUAUGGCAUCCUCUAUUCCCUGGAAAAUGAACAUUCUUUUUGAACACAAUAGGGAGACCCUGAUCAAAGCAAGAGCAUCUUACAGAAACUGGCAGGCAGAGAAAAAGGAAACAUUUGCCAUUUGUAGGAACUGGCAGGGAAGUCACCUGUCUAUAAGGCUGGUGCUGCUAAAGCCUAUUAUCUUUGUUCUUCAAAUUGAUUUAAGUAUUCAGGCAUCUUACAGAAUAAAAUCUGAAUGGCCAUCUAAAA